This 114-nucleotide ribosomal RNA is filed under the name uncultured bacterium. RNAcentral describes it as "partial 16S ribosomal RNA". It matches the Rfam family "Bacterial small subunit ribosomal RNA", at positions 1385 to 1500 of the family's 1533-position model. The record is from RNAcentral.
ACACACCGCCCGUCACACCAUGGAGCCGGUAAUACCCGAAGUCAGUAGUCCAACCACGUGAGGACGCUGCCGAAGGUAGGAUUGGCGACUGGGGUGAAGUCGUAACAAGGUAAC